UGCUUGAUUGGAAAUUUCUCUAUGGGACUC
RNAcentral lists this non-coding RNA (30 nucleotides) under Rattus norvegicus (Norway rat). The record is from RNAcentral. Lineage: Eukaryota; Metazoa; Chordata; Mammalia; Rodentia; Muridae.